UGCAGUAUGCUGGUCACUUCCAGUCUGUGAUUUGCUGGUCUGUGGUUUGCUGGUAUGUGGCCACUUCCGAUCCAGCAGCCAGCCCUCUUGUGGAAUGGCAGACAACCCUUCUCAGCCUGGCACUAGGCCACAGCCCAGGAGUUGGGAACCCAUGAUAUACAGCAGUAUUUCUCAAUCUUGUUAGGCUCAAGGCACCCACUGGAAAAUGGCAGCUCUUGGUUUUCACUUGCUUUUUGACUAUGAAAAGUACCAUAUUUUCUCACAUAUAGCACACCGUGAAAUAAGUUAUGCCCCUUCUUUUUGAAGGCAGAAUGAAAUAUAAAAGAUCUUUCCUUGUAGUAAGUAACUAAGUAGCAGCAGGUAGGGAGCUGAGUCUGCUCCUUGUUCUGUUCCCUAUGGAUCACAUGCAGUUACUGUUGCUUUAGCCUGGCAGAAACUUACACUGAAGAAGCUGCUGUUACCAUAUUUUCUUGAUUAUCAUGUGCACCCCAAUUUCCAGCAGCUUUUUUUUGGAAAAAGAGUGUGUGUUGUAUUUGAGAAAAAUCUGGUGAUAGAACAGUUCUGUUGCAAAGAACCCAGAAAGGUCAGAAAUGUUUUUGACACUGUGGAAUCUUAUUUGAAAUCUCUGAGUUAAUCAUGAGUAGGUAUCUGUGAACAUAACAGUUCUAAUAUUGCAUAUUACCCACAGCACACUCUACAAGAUCUUGCAGCACUCCAGAGUAUCACAGUCUCCUGGUUGAGAAUUGCGAAUGAAGAGAGUACUGUUUGCCUCUACCAUGGUGUCACUAGACAGGAAGAUGCUACUUUUCAGAAAUUUAAUGAUGUGUCUUAACCUAUUGUUUUAAGAGACAUCAUAGUACUUCUUUUGUUAAUGUGUUUUCUACUGUAGGUGUCUCCAGCAGGAGAGAUACCAGCACUUUUACAUAACUCCUGUUUUAGAUCUGGCAGGGGGAGAGCGUCUAUUAUCUACCUCUGAUGCUUAUGAAGCACUAGAAUGGUAACAUCACAUGAAGCUUGGUUCAUUAAUAACAGGUUUAUUUUACUCAUAACAGCCCUGCUAAUACCAAGCAAAACGUCAUUAAAAAUGCAGACUUCUUCUCAAUGUGAAGUGGUAGCUUCACUUUUUGCACUCCCAGGCCCUUUUCCUGAGCAAAGAAAUGUUUGGCAAGGUAAAAAGACAGUUUUCUUUCCUUACUUAUGCUAAUUUAGAUUUAAAGUAGUGAGGAGAACUUUUUAGUUAUUUACUGACCGUUAGAUCUUUAAGGAUAAGGUGUAUACCCAGGUUCCCAAUAACUAAUACAAUUCUUAGGCCUUGACCUUGCAAAGACUUGGAUACACACAUAAUGUUAAGCAUGUGUAUAGGGCUUUCUCGUACGUUUAGAGUUAAGUAUAUGUCUUUUGUAGGAUUAGGCGCUAAAGCUUGUUUUUGGUUCAAUAACAUAUCAAAGAAAUGUUCAUAUAGAUUCUUACUGAUUCUUUUAUUCUGCCUUAUAGUAAUAACACAGCCACUUUGCCUAGUUUAUAUACAUGGUUCAUAAGUACCUUGAUGGUGGAUACAUUAAAUAUCCACAAAUAUCACUCAAAACUAAUUAGAAAUUAUUAGGGCUUUGGUGUUAUAUGCCUCUUCAUAAUAGUAAACAUUCUUUGGAUCAUGUUUUAGAGUCAUCCAACAGAGCAUCCUGUUUCCAAGACAUUUAGUCUUUAUGGGGAUAGUAUUUCAUUUAAUUAUCAUUCAGGGAUUUACUUCUUUUGAUUGAAAAGAUUGUAUGAAUAGGAAAUGGUCUUUCUGGCAUUUGUUUUGUGAAAGAGUGGUAUCUCUGUGACAGUUUGCAGCACCUCAAAGCAGUUUGAUAAUUUCAAGGCAUGGUGACCCCAUAGCUCAGCAUUGCUCAGUAGGUGUGUGGACUCCAGAUACCCCUCAACAAAAGAUCCAUGUGCUAAUUACCACCCCUCCCACACACACACACACACACACACACUCAUGACUGGAACCAGGUGUUCUUGUCUUGAGUCCCAGGGUCCUACAAAAUUUGUAUGCAGAUGAGGUACAGGACAACAUAGUCUGGCUCCACAUCAUGGAGGGUUAGGCCACACUAAUCUCAUGUGACGGGCUGAGGGGGAGGGGGAUGACAGAGGGAUUCUGAGUGAACUGUUUGGGGCCAUAUUUUAUGACAUUUGCCAGAAAAAGAAAUAAUUGGAAAUGGGAAUGAAAGGCACAGUGCAGUUAUGGGAAUUGUAACAGAGUCACGUCUGCAACUUUGUUACUAAGAAAGGUCGACAGCUGAGGAUAGUUGCCAUGGCAGGGAAAAGGCACACCACACCCUCAAGAGCCAAUGCGGCUCUGGAAGGAGGAAUAAGAAGGGGAGAAAGCUGGAGAGAAGUUGCCUUCAGGCACCUCCAUAUUGAGAGAAGCAGGCGAGGAGCCCAGUGGCAAAGGAUUUGAAGGAAGGUCCAGAGGCAGGGACUCACCACACAGACAACAACAGGACUGGUGGAUCGACCCGUACCUCGAGUUUGCUAUCUUCCUGAAGAAUUCAACUGCUGCGGUGAGUCCCGGGGAAUGGAGUGACAGCGUGAUGAAAAGCCGCGGCUCCGAGUCAAGAUGCGGUGGGGCUGCCCGGGAGAAAGGGGGCGUGGGGAGGAAAUGCCUGACCCUGCCCAGGAGAAACGGGACCCCAAUCACUCACCUGGAGAAAGAGAAAGGGUGAGUAAGAAAGAAAAAAGAAGGGGGAACUGGGAAAGAGCUGCGCUCUGUAUGCUGGCACAGAACGCUGCUGGGAAAGCCUGGUAUCAGCGUUAAUCAGCUGCUAAUGAGGCAAUUAGUGGCUGAUCACUGAAACUACUUCUAAUACUUACCAUCUGAACCAGAUGAUAAGGAUCCCCGGAACACUGGAGAGCCCUCGGUGGUCGGUCUGGCGAACUGCUCCUUUUUCCCUGGUGUUCCUAGAGAGAGUGGGUUAGAUCCGAUUAAGAAUAAUAAAGCACAUGAAUCAGACAUCGAGCCAGCAUGGUCCUUCCCAUGGGUACCCGCAUUAAUAACAUCUCUUCCCUCCCCCAAAUUUGUUUAAAGAUUGAAGUCGUGGCAGGAGAGAAUAGCAGGAUGCGGGGGUACCUGGUUCAGAUCCAUUGACAGGAAUGAAGAGGAAGUAAAAAAGUAUUCAAUAUAGUGGCUCACCAUGACUUGAAAAAGAGUUGGUGCUGAAGAGAGAUGUGCUCCAUGGGGACUACUAUAUAUAUCAUUCAAAUGGGCUACACUAACCUGUUCCUGUGAUAAAUUUCUUUUGGCACAUUCACCCAAUAUGGUCCAGUUGUUUAAUGGUCAUGCUUAGUGUUUGUCGACUCUUAGUCAACUUCAUAGCUGGUUCUUAUUACUGUGCACAUGCUGCUUUUGACAGCAAUUUAAUGAUAGACAAUAUUUAUUGAGUUUUCUUUGCAUAAGAUGUUGGGGGGAGAAAAAUCUCAUCUUGUAUUCGAGUAAAUAUGGUAUGUAACUAAAAUGCGCGUAAUGCAAACUAGUCGCAGUAUCCCCACAGAUUUUUAUAGCUUAUAUUCAUUAUAUAAUGCAACAUAACUCCUUGUCACAGAAGUAAUAAAUUAAAGUUAUUCAAAUUAUUGGGAAAGGUGUAAAAACAUGCAAACAUUUUUUUCUGUAAAAACAAGUAGGUACAAUGUUAGCCACCAUAGAAUAUACAAAGAAAUGUCAGGUGAAAUCAUUUCAACAUGUUCUAGGGGUUUAAAAAGAGCAUCCUACUGGAUUUAAGAGCACAGAUAAUCAAUAUUCCUUUCAGAAGUGAAUGCUAAGUCACAAAAGUGAGCUCAGGAGGAUUUUUUUAACAUAUAACAACAUAUUGUAUUCUCUAAUAAGGUCCAUCAUAAUCUAAGAACACCAUUUUCAAGAAAAGUAUUAUAUUGUUAUUAUUAUUAUUUAGAAAUAAAGAUCCCAAAUUAGUGAUUUGUCAGUAUAGAUCCCUUGGAGGAUUAGUAUUCACUAAAUGCUCAUCAAUAGAAUCUCUUGCUCAUAAAAACAAGCCUUAAAUUUUUCAAUAAAUAUGUCCCAUUAGCAACUGUUCACUGGUUAAUUAUGUCUCACAGAAGAUUUUACUGUUUCUUUGUGUGUGCUCUUCUCUCUCACAUCUCAUAGCAAAGAUAUCAUUAGAACAUCUGGGAGGACAGUAUGACAGAUAGCAACAUCCUCCUUGUGCAUUGUGCUUUUACCUGCAUGUGUCCCUUGACAUGCUUAAUUAGGAUGCAAAGUACCUUUCCUACUUCUAUUCCUAUGUACACCCAAACUAAACGAGCUAAGUUAGUGAAGAAGCAGAACAUAUAAUAGCUCAGGUGUCUGGGCAUUUAGGACCAUAUUCAUCUGUGGGAACAAUCAAUUGAUUUUAAGUUCCUUGGGGCUGAGGAUAUCCCUUAAUUUUUUUUGCAGCAUGAAAAACUGUGUUCAUUAGAUAUAAAAUAAUAUACAGAUAAAUUUGUCAUGCAUUAAUUUUGGCUGUAAUUUAUUUUAGGAUUGUGACUCCACUAUUUGAAAUGUGCAACUUUGUACCAUGGGAAGGAGCUACUAAUGAUUUUAUGAAAUUCUGAUCAAAACACCUGGAUGUAAACAUGAAAAGGAUGCCAAGAGAAGCCAAGUAGUCUUGGCUGGAGGAGUGUAGUUGAAUUCUGCACAAUUUUGAGGCUUUCUACAUAGAGAGAGGCUUCACUAGAAAAGAGUCAAGAAAAGAAACUGGCAGCAUGUGGAACAGGGGAGUGGCCACAAUGCCACCUACUUGAAUGAUGAACUUAUAUGAGUGAAGCCAGAAUAGCUAUAAAUGGAAGGUCCAUUUCAUAUGGAAUGCUUGAGACAAAUCUAGCAAAUCAAGAAAAUCCAGAGCACAUGUCAGUCCCUCAUCUUGUGCUAGAGCAAAUCUUCCAUUUUGGUCAGUGGAUGUUCUUCCUGAAUAAGAAAACCAGGAUCCAGCCCACAAUGAGUGAACCUUUUUGUGUCAGACCAGUUCAGGUAAUACAAGAGCAAGAUGUUCAUCCAAAUGUCAGUCAGAACCAGUACAAAAUGGUUUGAAUAUCAUAACAAGUUUAGUAAAUGGGAGUGGGGAGGGAAAAAAAGGUGUCUGUAUUUGCUGGAUUUGAUCAGAAACAGAUGCACUUAACAUACCGCAGAAUUAUGGUUCUCAUAGUUUUUCUAGCAUUAGAGAAAUUAGGAGGAAUGGAAAAGCUAAAUAAAAGCGUGUGAAUCUGGUUAGGUGGUGGAAGGGCCUAGUUAGGCUAGACAUUAAGGGCACCUAUACAUAUGCCCAAAGCCUGCUCUGAUGUGUGCUAAUUAGUAUACGAACAAGCAGACUCAAUUAAUUAAGCAGCAGCCUCGAUGUCGCAUGUAUUCAGCAUCCCUGUGUUUCAAAAUGGUGGCAGGGGUGCUUUAACUAAAGCUUGUCAAAUGAGCUUUAGGUAAAGAGCCCCUGCCACCAUUUUGAAGUGUGGGACGUUGAGUACAUGAGAUGCUUCAGGCACUUUAUUUAGAGUGGUUCUCUAAUUAAAUUUCACUCCCCCCACCCCCACUCUGGAGCAUGUGUAAAGAUGCCUUAAGUGUCAACUGGCAGCCAAUAGGAUUAAAGGGAUAAAAGAGACUGUUUUUUUUCAAAGUCAGUGCUAAGGGAGUAAUAAGCUAUCUCUCUCAGUGGGAUAGUAUAAAUUGUUAAGUAUUCAAUUGCUUUUCAUGCAGAGCACUAGAGAAAAUGCUAAUGUGCACCUGCCCAGCAUUAUCUUUCAUAUGUCUGUCUUGCCCUUGUAUACAUUGCUAACCUGGCACAGUGUAUCAGGAAACCUGAACCCAUUCCUUCCACUGUUUUCUACUGCUAAUAAUGUCCUCCCCCUUACUUUUGGGCUGUUUUAUACUGUGACAACUGUAGGUGUUAUAGUGUUUGCUGACACUGCCCUGAGCUCGUUUUCCUACAAGCGGUGACAGGGUGGACCUAAGCUUCGAACCACCUGCUCUGCCAGGAAGCUGGUCUUAUGUUUCUCGCCUGCCAUGACUUUGAUGAUAUUAUGUUUCUAGGAGGCAGUGCCCAAGGUGAUCCUACCUGAUCUCAAUCCCUGUUUUUUUCUGUGGGGCUCCAAAACUCCCCUUUACCCUACCCUAGCCUCUCCAGAUAACACUUGUAGUUCUCUGCAGCCAGAUCUUAAAACUGCCCACUGGUCUAUUCUUCCACCCUCAGCCACCAGGGUGACGGUUGGUUUUAGUUAGGCACACAUCCUUCCAGGGCUGGCCUUGGCCUGCACUCAAAUAUCCAAAAAAAAAGAAAGCAAAACCUGACUGUUCUUAGUCUCUUUAUCAGACUCAGUCCAUGUCCCUUUCACCUGGGGUCAGGCUGUCAUGUCCAAAUCAUAACAAAAAAAUCAGUUAAUCCAGUCACUGCUCUGCACAAGCCUGCCCCGGAUUCCUCUGUGGUGGGCCGGCAUCAGGGAUGAUGCUCAAGGGCAACCAGCACGGUUUCAUUAGGGGCAGGUCAUGUCAGACCAACCUGAUUGCCUUUUAUGAUCAGGUCACAAAAGCAUUGGAUGCAGGUGUCGCCAUGGAUGUAGUCUUUCUGAACUUCAGCAAGGCCUUUGACACUGUUGACCACCCCAUCCUCAUUAAAAAACUAGGUGACUGUGGCAUCAAUGCCUACACAGUCAGAUGGAUUGUGAAUUGGCUGAAGGGUCGUACUCAGAGGGUGGUGGUGGACGGGUCAUAUUCGACCUGGGGGGAAGUGGGCAGCAGAGUCCCCCAGGGCUCGCUCCUUGGGCCUGCACUGUUCAAUUUCUUUAUCAGCGAUUUGGACGAUGGGGUGAAAAGCAACCUGUUUAAAUUUGCUGAUGAUACCAAAAUUUGGGGUGAGGUGGGCACGUUAGCAGGGAGGGAAAGACUGCAGAAAGACCUGGAUAGGUUGCAGGGGUGGGCUAACAAAAACACGAUGCGUUUCAAUACUGACAAGUACAGGAUGCUGCACUUAGGCAGUAGUAACCGGCAGCACGCUUAUAAGAUGGGAAACCCUUCUUGAGAGCACGGAGGCAGAAAGGGAUCUUGGAGUCAUCCUUGACUCCAAGAUGAACAUGGGCCGACAAUGCGAGGUCACAGUCGGCAGGGCUAACGGGACCUUAUCAUGUAUCCACAGGUGCAUCUCAAGUAGGUCCAAGGAGGUGAUCCUCCCCUUUCUACAUGACACUGGUCAGGCCACAGCUGGAGUACUGUGUCCAGUUCUGGGCACCCCACUUCAAGAGGGAUGUGGACAACAUUGAGAGGGUCCAGAGGAGGGCCACCCACAUGAUCUUGGGACAGCAGGGCAGACCCUACAAUGAGAGGCUACGGGACCUGAACCUGUUCAGCCUUCACCAGAGAAGGCUGAGGGGGGACCUGGUGAUCGUCUAUAAACUCACUAGGGGGGACCAGAUGGGUUUGGGGGAGACCUUGUUUCCCCUAGCGCCCCCCAGGAUAACAAGGAAUAACGGCCACAAGUGUUGGAGAGUAGGUUCAGAUUAGACAUCCGUAAGAACUACUUCCAGUUAGGGCGGCUAGGAUCUGGAACCAACUUCCAAGGGAAGUGGUGCUGGCUCCUACCCUGGGGGGUCUUUAAGAAGAGGCUUGAUGCCUACCUGGCUGGGGUCAUUUGAGCCCAGUUUUCUUGCUGAACAGGCAGGGGGUCAGACCUGAAGAUCUACAAGGUCCGUUCUGACCCUACUUCUAUGAUUCUAUGAUUCUCAUGAGCAUUCACAGCCCCAGUGGGAUCUCUCCCACGUGCAGUGAGGCUCUAACCUGAAACGAGCAAUUCUUGUGGCCUCUCCCCCAGAUCCUCAGCUGUCACUCUGCUCCAGUGAUUAUCAGAAGCCUUGUGUGUGCAGGCCUCUGCCUGCCUCCUUCUCAGGGUCAUACCCACAGUGUUUCUCUGGCAGGUUUCGCAACACUUGCCUGCCAGGUGCUCAGCCACUCCUCUCUCUGUGGUUCACAGGGAAUCAACCCCACUCUGCCUGUCUCUGGGGCCGGAAAUACCUCUGAGUAGCCUCCCUCUUCCAAUCCGGAGUGAGAUGCUGCUCUGGAAGUGUCGUGAUUGCUUCUCUUCCCUUCUGGUCUCCAGCUGCGGCCCUGCCGGCCUUCCACGCAAUAAGUGUUGCUUGCUUUCACUUUCCCUGUCUGUUGCUGCCAGCUGCUUUUCUUCUCCUGAUCUCACCUGCCCAGCAUGUAAGGCACCUCAGGGCUUUUGUUUACUUUCUCUCACUCCUUCACAUAUACAUUGCACUUCUAAAAGGAUAUAAGUUUCCAUUUAUGAAUCGAAACUUUCAAUAGGAACUUCAAUUAGAAUAAAGUAUCCAGAAGGGCUAUUCCAAGAAAGUGUUAACAUGAGCAUGAUUUGAACACCCAAUAUAUGGAAAUACAGCAUACAGUUAAGUGUCCUGUACUUUUUCUCUUGAGUAAUGUGGCAUAUGGUAAAUUCAUUUAUUUUAUUGUAUGUUAAUAGCAUAUUCCAUGAAUGAAGAAUUCUAUGCACAUAAACUGCUUUCAGAAUGGCUGAAACCAAUUUAAAAUAAACCUAUAUGGAUGCAGUAUCAGUUUUAA
Alligator mississippiensis (American alligator) is the source of this 8587-nucleotide long non-coding RNA. RefSeq lists it as uncharacterized. The transcript is spliced from 2 exons. The record is from RefSeq and is a predicted model, not a curated record. NCBI's taxonomy places the organism in Eukaryota, Metazoa, Chordata, Crocodylia, Alligatoridae.